This 446-nucleotide ribosomal RNA is filed under the name uncultured bacterium. Its description in RNAcentral is "partial 16S ribosomal RNA". It matches the Rfam family "Bacterial small subunit ribosomal RNA", at positions 338 to 795 of the family's 1533-position model. The record is from RNAcentral.
CCUACGGGUGGCAGCAGUCGAGAAUCAUUCACAAUGGGGGAAACCCUGAUGGAGCGACGCCGCGUGGGGGAAUGAAGGUCUUCGGAUUGUACACCCCUGUCAUGUGGGAGCAACUUAUAAAGAUAGUACCAUAAGAGGAAGAGACUGCUAAAUCUGUGCCAGCAGCCGCGGUAAUACAGAGGUCUCAAGCGUUGUUCGGAAUCACUUGGCGUAAAGGGUGAGUUGGCUGUUUGGUAAGUCGUGUGUGAAAGCGGCGGGCUUAACCCGCGGACGGCACAUGCUACUGUGAGACUAGAGUACUGGAGAGGGAAGCGGAAUUCUUGGUGUAGCAGUGAAAUGCGUAGAUAUAGAGAAGAACACCCGUGGCGAAGGCAGCUUGCUGGAGCGGAACUGACGCUGAUGCUCGAAAGCGCGGGUAGCGAACAGGAUUAGAUACCCCUGUAGUC